RNAcentral lists this transfer RNA (75 nucleotides) under Methanobacteriota archaeon. RNAcentral's name for it is "Euryarchaeota archaeon tRNA-Glu". It matches the Rfam family "tRNA". From Rfam's summary of the family: Transfer RNA (tRNA) molecules are approximately 80 nucleotides in length. Their secondary structure includes four short double-helical elements and three loops (D, anti-codon, and T loops). The record is from RNAcentral. Lineage: Archaea; Methanobacteriati; Methanobacteriota. RNAcentral also lists the same sequence under 1 other name.
GCUUGUGUGGUGUAGUUCGGCCCAUCAUGACGGGUUCUCGAUCCGUCGACCCGGGUUCAAAUCCCGGCGCGAGCA